Molecule: ribosomal RNA, 253 nt
Filed under: uncultured bacterium
Lineage: Bacteria
Description: partial 16S ribosomal RNA
Rfam family: Bacterial small subunit ribosomal RNA
Source: RNAcentral
UACGGGGGGGGCAAGCGUUGUUCGGAAUUACGGGGCGUAAAGGGCUCGUAGGCGGCCAACUAAGUCGGAUGUGAAAUCCCCAGGCUCAACUUGGGAACUGCAUCCGAUACUGGAUGGCUUGAAUUCGGGAGAGGGAUGCAGAAUUCCAGGUGUAGCGGUGAAAUGCGUAGAUAUCUGGAGGAAUACCGGUGGCGAAGGCGGCAUCCUGGACCGGCAUUGACGCUGAUGAGCGAAAGCUAGGGGAGCAAACGGG